This 534-nucleotide ribosomal RNA is filed under the name Triticum aestivum (bread wheat). RNAcentral's name for it is "partial small subunit ribosomal RNA". The record is from RNAcentral. Lineage: Eukaryota; Viridiplantae; Streptophyta; Magnoliopsida; Poales; Poaceae.
AUGUCGCCGAUACCGUCACUCCUCCUCCUCUUCCUUGUCAUACCAGCCGUACUCGCGGCCGGCGGCGGCAGUGCAAAGAGCAAGCUGAAGCACAUCCACCUGUACAUGCACGAGACGUUCUCGAGCCCGAACGCCACGGAGGGCCUCCUCGUGCCGUCCCCCUUUGGUGCCAACGCGAUGUUCAGGCAGGUGGCCGUGUUCGACGACGAGCUCCGCACCGGCCAGGAGCGGGACUUGCCGCUCGUGGCGCGGUACCAGGGCAUCAUCGUCUCCACGGGGCAGGCGUUGCAGGGCCACCUGACGGUCACCACAGUCGUGUUCGUCGCCGGGGAGCACGACGGGAGCGCGCUAUCCGUGGAGGGCUCCUUCCAGGGCUUCUAGGGCACCUCCGAGCGCAGCAUCAUGGGCGGCAACGACAAGUUCAGGAUGGCGCGCGGGUACUACCUGCUCAAGCUCCUCGGCCAUACGUCGCCGGACACCGCCAUCUCCGAGGUCGACUUCUUUGUGCUCCCGUGCGACACUGCCUACCUUUAA